Molecule: ribosomal RNA, 760 nt
Filed under: uncultured Prevotella sp.
Lineage: Bacteria; Pseudomonadati; Bacteroidota; Bacteroidia; Bacteroidales; Prevotellaceae
Description: bacterial SSU rRNA
Rfam family: Bacterial small subunit ribosomal RNA
Source: RNAcentral
GAUGAACGCUGGCUACAGGCUUAACACAUGCAAGUCGAGGGGAAACGACAGGGAAGCUUGCUUCCUUGGGCGUCGACCGGCGCACGGGUGAGUAACGCGUAUCCAACCUGCCUCUGACUGAGGGAUAACCCGUCGAAAGUCGGCCUAAUACCUCAUGGCAUCGUCUGCGGGCAUCCAACGACGAUUAAAGAUUUCAUCGGUCAGGGAUGGGGAUGCGUCUGAUUAGCCUGUUGGCGGGGUAACGGCCCACCAAGGCUACGAUCAGUAGGGGUUCUGAGAGGAAGGUCCCCCACAUUGGAACUGAGACACGGUCCAAACUCCUACGGGAGGCAGCAGUGAGGAAUAUUGGUCAAUGGGCGAGAGCCUGAACCAGCCAAGUAGCGUGCAGGAUGACGGCCCUAUGGGUUGUAAACUGCUUUUAUGCGGGGAUAAAGUGAGGGACGUGUCCUUCAUUGCAGGUACCGCAUGAAUAAGGACCGGCUAAUUCCGUGCCAGCAGCCGCGGUAAUACGGAAGGUCCUGGCGUUAUCCGGAUUUAUUGGGUUUAAAGGGAGCGUAGGCCGUGGAUUAAGCGUGUUGUGAAAUGCAGGUGCUCAACGUCUGCACUGCAGCGCGAACUGGUCCACUUGAGUGUGCGCAACGCAGGCGGAAUUCGUCGUGUAGCGGUGAAAUGCUUAGAUAUGACGAAGAACUCCGAUUGCGAAGGCAGCUUGCGGGAGCACAACUGACGCUGAAGCUCGAAAGUGCGGGUAUCGAACAGG